Molecule: ribosomal RNA, 557 nt
Filed under: uncultured Colwellia sp.
Lineage: Bacteria; Pseudomonadati; Pseudomonadota; Gammaproteobacteria; Alteromonadales; Colwelliaceae
Description: bacterial SSU rRNA
Rfam family: Bacterial small subunit ribosomal RNA
Source: RNAcentral
UUGCUAUCUGCUGACGAGCGGCGGACGGGUGAGUAAUGCUUGGGAAUAUGCCUUAUGGUGGGGGACAACAGUUGGAAACGACUGCUAAUACCGCAUAACGCCUACGGACCAAAGGAGGGGAUCUUCGGACCCUUCGCCAUUUGAUUAGCCCAAGUGAGAUUAGCUAGUUGGUAAGGUGAAGGCUUACCAAGGCGACGAUCUCUAGCUGGUUUGAGAGGAUGAUCAGCCGCACUGGGACUGAGACACGGCCCAGACUCCUACGGGAGGCAGCAGUGGGGAAUAUUGCACAAUGGGGGAAACCCUGAUGCAGCCAUGCCGCGUGUGUGAAGAAGGCCUUCGGGUUGUAAAGCACUUCCAGUUGUGAGGAAAGGUAUGUAGUUAAUAACUGCAUUCUGCGACGUUAACAACAGAAGAAGCACCGGCUAACUUCGUGCCAGCAGCCGCGGUAAUACGAGGGGUGCAAGCGUUAAUCGGAAUUAUCUGGCGUAAAGCGUUCGUAGGCGGUUAUUUAAGCUAGAUGUGAAAGCCCAGGGCUCAACCUUGGAACUGCAUUUUGA